Long non-coding RNA from Piliocolobus tephrosceles (Ugandan red Colobus), 1854 nucleotides. Lineage: Eukaryota; Metazoa; Chordata; Mammalia; Primates; Cercopithecidae. The record is from Ensembl.
AUGGAUAAGGAGUGCAAUAUGUUGAAAAAGGUAUUGGAAAACAGUGAUGGUUUAUUGCUUAGCGACACUGGUAGUGACAUCGGCAGUAACACUGGUAGUGACAUUGGCAGUAACAUUGGUAGUGACAUUAGUAGUGACAGUAACAAUGCCCAUACCAGUUAUAACUUAUCUUCUAGCUAUUCUUUAUGUUCUUCCUUAUCAUCGUGCAUUAGCAAUAUUUCGGAAAAUAAUAAAAAUGAACAUGUUUUGUAUAAACGCUUAAAAGAAAAUUCAACUAACAUAUCUUACUUAAAUUUUUUAUGUAGCAAGAAAAAAAAAAAAAAAAACAAAAAAAAAAAAAAAAAACUGUCUAACUUUGUUAAUAAAAAAAAUAAAUCAAUUUAUAUGAAAAACAAGUUUAUUCAUGAAAAAAAAACUGCAAAAAAUAUAAUGCCUUUUUACACUUUAAAACAAUGUCUAACAGGAAAUAUAAACGAAAAAGCGAUAACACACACGGAACUAGCAGUGAUAGAAGAUAAAGCUAAACUAACAAAUAAAAAAAUUAGGAGUAAACACUUAUUGACCGAAAGGAUUAAUAAAUAUCUAAAAAAAAUUAAUAAUAUUAUGUACGGUUCAGGUGAACAAAAAAAAAAAAAAAUAAAUAAAAAAAAUAAAAAUAAAAAUAAAAAUAAAACUGAAACAAAAAAGAAAUUUAAAAAUAAAAGCACAUACAAAUGUAAAAAAACAAAACAAACAGAUGGUGAAUAUUUAUGUUCAAACUUCUUUAUGCAACCUGAUACACCUAUUAAUAAAAGUGUGUUAUAUAAUAAUUAUGUCGAUCAUGCAGAUUAUGCAGAUCAUGCAGAUCAUAUUAAUUAUAGUAACAUGUAUUGUACACUGUGUUAUAAAAUACCAAUAGUUGAUAAAAUAAAAAACUUAUUAUUAGAUAAUGACACAAUAAACAUGUUAUGUUUUCAUUGUUAUAAUACCUUUUUAAAAUUACUAGGAUUAUAUUCAACUAUAUGUAUUGGAUGUUUUAAAUUAUAUUUUCUGUAUAAAGAUAUAUCAAAAUGUGUUUUAUGUAAUAAUUGUGAUAUUAAAAUUAUAAAAAAUAUGAACAGUUCAGAACAAAUAGAUAAAAUAAAAAACGAAUUUAAAUUAUUUAUAUCUUUAUAUAAAUAUCCAUUAAAUCAAAAUAUACAUUCUGACAAUUUUUUAAUUUUUUUUAUUAAUACGAAUUAUUAUUUUAAAUAUUUAUAUUUAUAUUUUAAAACGAAGCAAACAGUUACUAUAUCUAAUAAUUUUGUUUAUUCAGUAUAUAACCCUUCUUUCGUUGAAUUGGUAAGUUAUAUAGCAGAAACAAGAGAAAAUAAAUGGGAUCCAAUACAAACUGAUAAUAAUAGUAGUAGUAGUAGUAGUAUAGGCCGUGUUCAUAACAAAAGUGACAGUUUUUAUAAUAACAAUGAUAAAAUUAUGAAUAAAAUAUUUGAUACUACUAUAACAAACUUACAAACUAACCUUUUUAAUAUGAACGAACAAUAUUAUAACAAACCAACACAGUUUUAUAAAAAAACUUUUAACAACACAUUCGAAAAAAAUAAUAACAAAUUAAAUAAAUUACAAAAAAAAAAACAAAUGUAUAAUUUAUAUUUUACUCUGGAUCAAGCUGAAGAAAUUUCAAACAAUGCGCUGUUGAUGAUGGUAGAAAAUAUGAACCAUCAACAAUUUAAUUUGUUGGAAUGUUUGAAACAAUGCAACGAUUAUAACUAUAUAGGAAAAAAAAAAAAAAUAGAAGUGUUUAUUCUGCACAUGAUAAAAAAAAUAAAGAAUAUACAAUGGAUGUUUAUGGACAUGAGCAUGAACAACAGUUCAUAA